CUCGAUGUUCUCAACAUCUCCAGUUGGCCAGGUGUGGUACAUUCCCGCACUCCUAAGGGACUUGUCCCUGUCCCUGUCAAGACAGAAAAGCUGCAAGGGUGUGACCUGCUCGUUCCUACUGCUAUGCCUGAAACAUUUGACAAAGACAGCCCAAGGAGUUCUAACACACGCACCACUGGGACUCCACUGUAUUUACCCACUGGGAUGCUCCACCAAGCUCACCCACUGGGAUGCUCCACCAAGCUCACCCACUGGGAUGCUCCACCAAGCUCACCCACUGGGACGCUCCACCAUGCUCACCCACUGGGAUGCUCCACUGCCUCACCAUGCUCGCCCACUGGGAUGCUCCACCAUCUCCACCAUGCUUGCCCACUGGGAUGCUCCACCACCUCCACCAAGCUCAUCCACUGGGAUGCUCCACUGUCUCACCAUGCUCACCCCCGGGUUGCUCUAUAUGACUUCCCUACUGGGAUGGACUGAAACUUUGAGCAGUAAUAAAUC
Non-coding RNA from Myodes glareolus (Bank vole), 501 nucleotides. NCBI's taxonomy places the organism in Eukaryota, Metazoa, Chordata, Mammalia, Rodentia, Cricetidae. The record is from RefSeq and is a predicted model, not a curated record.